UCAGCUGCUGUUGCAAUAGAAGACAUAUUGAAAUCAGAUUAGGAAAGUGAGCAUUGUAUGGUGACGGCAGACAAGAGGAUAAAAACGGACGCUCAUGUCAAGCUUGAUGAGGAUUUAGUCCAAACUUUGAAAGACCCUGCAAUGCAGUUUUCAAAGACCACAGUGUCUGAAUUGCAAGCCCCCAGAUGAAGAUGAU
Molecule: long non-coding RNA, 196 nt
Organism: Sinocyclocheilus rhinocerous
Lineage: Eukaryota; Metazoa; Chordata; Actinopteri; Cypriniformes; Cyprinidae
Exons: 3
Source: RefSeq, a predicted model, not a curated record